Molecule: ribosomal RNA, 255 nt
Filed under: uncultured bacterium
Lineage: Bacteria
Description: partial 16S ribosomal RNA
Rfam family: Bacterial small subunit ribosomal RNA
Source: RNAcentral
UACGGAGGGGGCAAGCGUUGUUCGGAAUUACUGGGCGUAAAGGGCGCGCAGGCGGCUGCUCAAGUCAGGCGUGAAAGGCCUGGGCUCAACCCGGGAAUUGCGCUUGAGACUGGGCUGGCUUGAGUGCGGGAGAGGAUGGUGGAAUUCCCAGUGUAGAGGUGAAAUUCGUAGAUAUUAGGAGGAACACCGGUGGCGAAGGCGCCACUCUGGGCCGAAACUGACGCUGAGGAGCGAAAGCAUGGGUAGCAAAGCAGG